This 73-nucleotide transfer RNA is filed under the name bacterium. Its description in RNAcentral is "tRNA-Gly". It matches the Rfam family "tRNA". From Rfam's summary of the family: Transfer RNA (tRNA) molecules are approximately 80 nucleotides in length. The record is from RNAcentral. RNAcentral also lists the same sequence under 2 other names.
GCGGAAGUAGCUCAGUUGGUAGAGCGCAACCUUGCCAAGGUUGAGGUCGCGGGUUCGAAUCCCGUCUUCCGCU